Molecule: ribosomal RNA, 468 nt
Filed under: uncultured bacterium
Lineage: Bacteria
Description: partial 16S ribosomal RNA
Rfam family: Bacterial small subunit ribosomal RNA
Source: RNAcentral
GACGAACGCUGGCGGCGUGCUUAACACAUGCGAGUCGAACGGAAAGGCCCUGCUUUUGUGGGGUGCUCGAGUGGCGAACGGGUGAGUAACACGUGAGUAACCUGCCCUUGACUUUGGGAUAACUUCAGGAAACUGGGGCUAAUACCGGAUAGGAGCUCCUGCUGCAUGGUGGGGGUUGGAAAGUUUCGGCGGUUGGGGAUGGACUCGCGGCUUAUCAGCUUGUUGGUGGGGUAGUGGCUUACCAAGGCUUUGACGGGUAGCCGGCCUGAGAGGGUGACCGGCCACAUUGGGACUGAGAUACGGCCCAGACUCCUACGGGAGGCAGCAGUGGGGAAUAUUGCACAAUGGGCGGAAGCCUGAUGCAGCAACGCCGCGUGCGGGAUGACGGCCUUCGGGUUGUAAACCGCUUUCGCAUGUGACGAAGCGUGAGUGACGGUAAUGGGUAAAGAAGCACCGGCUAACUACGUG